UUCGCAAUGCCCGAAAGGGUGACGAAGCGACGCCGCGUGUGGGAAGAAGGCCUUCGGGUUGUAAACCACUGUCGGGAGUUAGGAAGUGUAGGGAUAUGAAUAAUGUCUUUACCUGACUAAGGCUCCGGAGGAAGCCACGGCUAACUCUGUGCCAGCAGCCGCGGUAAUACAGAGGCGGCAAGCGUUGUUCGGAAUUAUUGGGCGUAAAGAGCACGUAGGCGGCUUUGCAAGUCAGUUGUGAAAGCCUUCCUCUUAAAGGAAGAACUGCAUCUGAUACUACAAGGCUUGAGUGCGGGAGGGGAGAGUGGAACUUCUGGUGGAGCGGUGAAAUGCGUAGAUAUCAGAAGGAACGCCGGCGGCGAAAGCGACUCUCUGGCCCGUAACUGACGCUGAGUGUGCGAAAGCUAGGGGAGCAAACGGGAUUAGAUACCCCGGUAGUCCCAGCCGUAAACGAUGGGCACUAAGUAGAGGGGUUUU
RNAcentral lists this ribosomal RNA (477 nucleotides) under Candidatus Brocadia fulgida. Its description in RNAcentral is "bacterial SSU rRNA". It matches the Rfam family "Bacterial small subunit ribosomal RNA", at positions 365 to 832 of the family's 1533-position model. The record is from RNAcentral. Lineage: Bacteria; Pseudomonadati; Planctomycetota; Candidatus Brocadiia; Candidatus Brocadiales; Candidatus Brocadiaceae.